RNAcentral lists this ribosomal RNA (375 nucleotides) under uncultured organism. Its description in RNAcentral is "partial 16S ribosomal RNA". It matches the Rfam family "Bacterial small subunit ribosomal RNA", at positions 527 to 896 of the family's 1533-position model. The record is from RNAcentral.
GUAGGGUGCGAGCGUUGUCCGGAAUUAUUGGGCGUAAAGAGCUCGUAGGCGGUCUGUCGCGUCUGCUGUGAAAACCCGAGGCUCAACCUCGGGCCUGCAGUGGGUACGGGCAGACUAGAGUGCGGUAGGGGAGAAUGGAAUUCCUGGUGUAGCGGUGGAAUGCGCAGAUAUCAGGAGGAACACCGAUGGCGAAGGCAGUUCUCUGGGCCGUAACUGACGCUGAGGAGCGAAAGCGUGGGGGGAGCGAACAGGAUUAGAUACCCUGGUAGUCCACGCCGUAAACGUUGGGCGCUAGAUGUGGGGACCAUUCCCACGGUUUCCGUGUCGCAGCUAACGCAUUAAGCGCCCCCGCCUGGGAGUACGGCCGCAAGGCUA